RNAcentral lists this ribosomal RNA (266 nucleotides) under uncultured prokaryote. Its description in RNAcentral is "partial 16S ribosomal RNA". It matches the Rfam family "Bacterial small subunit ribosomal RNA", at positions 524 to 789 of the family's 1533-position model. The record is from RNAcentral.
UACGUAGGGCGCAAGCGUUGUCCGGAAUUAUUGGGCGUAAAGAGCUCGUAGGCGGUCUGUCACGUCUGCUGUGAAAACCCGAGGCUCAACCUCGGGCUUGCAGUGGGUACGGGCAGACUAGAGUGCGGUAGGGGAGACUGGAAUUCCUGGUGUAGCGGUAAAAUGCACAGAUAUCAGGAGGAACACCGAUGGCGAAGGCAGGUCUCUGGGCCGCAACUGACGCUGAGGAGCGAAAGCGUGGGUAGCAAACAGGAUUAGAUACCCGU